This 139-nucleotide small RNA is filed under the name Arabidopsis thaliana (thale cress). RNAcentral describes it as "ATSL150020". Lineage: Eukaryota; Viridiplantae; Streptophyta; Magnoliopsida; Brassicales; Brassicaceae. The record is from RNAcentral.
CAGAUCCAACCAACCAUUGAGGACCAUUUCUUCUCUCUCAUUCUCUCUUCUGACGUGUUUCCCUUCUUCGGUUUCUCAUCCUCACGUCCGCCGGAUUUCGAGGAAACGAAGAAGAAGAAGAACAACAACAACAAAAGGU